This is a long non-coding RNA of Megalobrama amblycephala (Wuchang bream), 217 nucleotides long. RefSeq lists it as uncharacterized. The transcript is spliced from 2 exons. The record is from RefSeq and is a predicted model, not a curated record. Lineage: Eukaryota; Metazoa; Chordata; Actinopteri; Cypriniformes; Xenocyprididae.
UAAAAAGCGCUAUAUAAAUAAAUUUGACUUGACUUGACUUGACAGGUGUAUAGAUUGGGGUGUGGCUACUGAUACAGGUGGAGAGUUUGGGGUGUGGCUACUGCAGCAGGCUGAGAGUUUGGGGUGUGGCUAAACAAGUUUUAUUUCUCGCAGGAAAAUAUUGUGCAUGGCAACGUUAUCUUCACAGGGAAUGUUAGCUCUCUCCGCCAGCCAGUUU